UGAGGACCACACACACCCAAAAAGACCUUUCCCUUUCUCCCGUGCCUUCUCUCUCACUCCUUCCUCUCAGAUUUUUGCAGAAACCAGUACAACAUUCGGAAAAACUCCAAGCUUCCAUUUCAAGCACGGAUCGACGUCAAGAAGGACACAAGAAGCUUUAGAUUGUCUUCACGAAGCUCGGAGAAGAAAAAUGAAGUGAUUUGGAUGUCGGAAAGUUGAGAUACGACGAGUUACAGGUUUAGCCAGAAUAUCGAAGGAUUUUUCGGCAAGUUCGGUCGGUUUUAGGACCUUUGAAAGUGAACGACGACGGCGACGACGACCGGCGAGUCUAACCGGAGAAGAAGAUAGAAUAUUUCGUCAAAGUUGACGGAAUAUUCUGACGCCGUCAAGUAAAAUUAAUGGAUUCCGUUACUUUUUAACGAAUAUUCCUAACGGGGUUAGGGGAUUCCGUUAGUUUCCUUGGGCGUGGCCGCGCGUGUUGCUGUGCCUUGGCCAGUGCGUGGCGGCUCGUGGAUGGUCGGAAAAUUAUUUUUAAAAUAUGGGGAUGUUCAUGGAGUUGUGUAGAUCACGUUGGUGAGACUUAUCCCGAGGACAAACGCAGUCAAGGGCAACUCGGGGGCUACAACCAUUCGACAUACCAGUUUUAGGUAAGCUUGCCGUUGCUGGGUAUGAGGAUUUCGGUGGUUCUGACAUAUUAAAAUAAUUAUAGGACAUCUUAUGGUACUGUAUCAUUAGUACUUGUCCUACUGGACUGCACCUAGACUUUAUAUGCUCUGAUUAGGGGUAUUUACUUUUGUAUCUCACUCCUA
This is a long non-coding RNA of Malus domestica (apple), 809 nucleotides long. RefSeq lists it as uncharacterized. NCBI's taxonomy places the organism in Eukaryota, Viridiplantae, Streptophyta, Magnoliopsida, Rosales, Rosaceae. The record is from RefSeq and is a predicted model, not a curated record.